This 460-nucleotide ribosomal RNA is filed under the name uncultured bacterium. RNAcentral's name for it is "partial 16S ribosomal RNA". It matches the Rfam family "Bacterial small subunit ribosomal RNA", at positions 338 to 795 of the family's 1533-position model. The record is from RNAcentral.
CCUACGGGAGGCAGCAGUGAGGAAUAUUGGUCAAUGGACGAGAGUCUGAACCAGCCAAGUAGCGUGAAGGAUGACUGCCCUAUGGGUUGUAAACUUCUUUUAUAAAGGAAUAAAACGAGGCACGUGUGCCUUUUUGCAUGUACUUUAUGAAUAAGGAUCGGCUAACUCCGUGCCAGCAGCCGCGGUAAUACGGAGGAUCCGAGCGUUAUCCGGAUUUAUUGGGUUUAAAGGGAGCGUAGAUGGGUUGUUAAGUCAGUUGUGAAAGUUUGCGGCUCAACCGUAAAAUUGCAAUUGAUACUGGCAGUCUUGAGUACAGUUGAGGUAGGCGGAAUGCGUGGUGUAGCGGUGAAAUGCUUAGAGAUCACGAAGAACCCCGAUUGCGAAGGCAGCUUACUAAGCUGUGACUGACAUUGAUGCUCGAAAGUGUGGGUAGCAAACAGGAUUAGAUACCCUUGUAGUC